Molecule: unclassified non-coding RNA, 790 nt
Filed under: Hevea brasiliensis (rubber tree)
Lineage: Eukaryota; Viridiplantae; Streptophyta; Magnoliopsida; Malpighiales; Euphorbiaceae
Source: RNAcentral
CAUGGAUUUAAAAGAUAAUACAAUCCUUUUGCGCCAGCCACUAAUUUUUUCUAUAAUUUGAAGAACUAAAUUAGUGCCUUCAUAGAAAUUCAUUUACAUGAGAAAAUAACAAAUUAAUUAAAAGGAAAAAUCAUUCAUUUGUCUGAAAGCUUACAAUCCCUAUCCAUGGGAAAUAUAAAUUCUUUAUAUUUUACCACCAAAUCAUACUCAAUGUCCAAAUCCAAGUAGAGGAAGCUUCUUCCAUGUCCCACAAUGAUAGAUUUCAGUUGUUUUCCAACUCUGUUCAUAGUUAUCUGCUAGUUUGUAUGCGACUUGACUCGGCCUAGGAUCAUGUCCAAACAAUUUUGCAGUUGAUGAAAAUAGAAACAACCCUAUGACAGAAGAAUGCUUUCAAGCAUGAAACUGCUUGCCACCAACAAGCCUUUUCUGUGGUGUUUAAUUUUUUUUCUCUAAUAAGCAUAAUUUUAUUAAGGGUGAAGAGAAGAUAUAAAUUUGCAAUCAAAUCUCCAUUUCUUGCCAGAUACUAAAUUGCACGUAAGCUCCAGAUAUUCCAUUAAAACGGUUGUGCAAGCAAUUGAGCAGCUCUUUCAUGAUUAUGAUCCUUAAAUGUACUUGAACCAAAUGUUUGCAUUAGGCCUGGAGACAAGGACACACAUUUGAAGUAAUUAUUCACUAGGCAUUUCCCAAUUUUAUAGAAGAGCAAAGGAUAAAAAAGAUGUGCAAAUACUCCAUAUCUAUAAGAAAACUCCAUCUGAUCAACUCUGUUCUAGAGCAGGUAAUAACUCCACCA